UAAUGGGGGUACCCUGCCUGCUUCACGAGU
Molecule: non-coding RNA, 30 nt
Filed under: Homo sapiens (human)
Lineage: Eukaryota; Metazoa; Chordata; Mammalia; Primates; Hominidae
Source: RNAcentral